Molecule: long non-coding RNA, 729 nt
Filed under: Ananas comosus (pineapple)
Lineage: Eukaryota; Viridiplantae; Streptophyta; Magnoliopsida; Poales; Bromeliaceae
Description: long non-coding RNA (ACOM_LNC003514)
Source: RNAcentral
UCUAAUCCUGAUGACUCGUCGGCAGUACGAGUUCUCUUUGACUGACCACGUCGUCCUCGACCACCACCACGACCACGACCACGACCGGCAGCCAUAACCACCAGAAGAAGGAUCACGAGCGAAAACGCCAUUUUCCUAUAUGAAAAUGAACCAUUCAUGAAGAAAAUUUUGAAAAAAAAAAGAAAAAAAAAUCUGUAAAAAUAGCGAAAAAAAAAUUUCUAAUAAUAUUAGAAUGCAUACAAAUACUAUUUCUAACCAGAUCAUGAAAAAAAAUUUCAUUAAAAAUGACAUUUUACAAAAAAUCCCGAAAUUACAUGAAAAAUAAAGCUUAGAACAUGGAUCAGCGAAAAAUAACAUGAUUUGAUGUGAUUCAAGUGUUCUAGAAGCAAGAUAAUGUCAUUAAGUACUGAUCUACAGCAAAAAAUUGCAUAAAAAACGAUCAAAAACAAAGAUCUAUGCAGGAACACGAAAUUUUUCGAAAAAUAAACAUGAACGCGAUGAAACGAUUAAAUCCAAGCGAAAUACUCACAGAUUUUUGGGGAAAACGUGUAGAUCUGGAAGAGGAAGGCACCAGAAAAUUUUAGAGAGAGAAAGAUCGAAAUUUGGUUUGGAUUAGAGUGAGAAAGAAAUCUCUGUAACCGGUUAUAUUUCCGCGGCUACAGUGACUUGUACCGGUACACGGGAUUUUGUACCAGUACACUUUGCCAGAUUUCGAAAAUAUGAUUUUAA